Molecule: ribosomal RNA, 309 nt
Filed under: uncultured eukaryote
Lineage: Eukaryota
Description: partial 18S ribosomal RNA
Rfam family: Eukaryotic small subunit ribosomal RNA
Source: RNAcentral
CCCUUAGAUGUUCUGGGCGGCCCGCGCACUACAAUGGCGCUUUCAGCGAGUUCCUAUGUUGAAUUUUCCUGGGUAUUCUUGGAAGCGGCGUCUUGACUUGGGAUAGAUCCUUGUAAUUGUUGGUUUUGAACGAGGAAUUCCUUGUAAUCGCGGUUGAUCAGCUCGCGUUGAUACGUCCCUGCCCUUUGUACACACCGCCCGUCGCUCCUACCGAUGAAUCGUCCGGUGAAGUUCACAGAGUGGCGGUUCGUGGAGUUGCUCGCGAAGUGAAAUGGACCUCACGAUUUAGAGGAAGGAGAAGUCGUAACA